AAMCCGGGGCUAAUACCGGAUAACAUUUUGAACCGCAUGGUUCGAAAUUGAAAGGCGGCUUCGGCUGUCACUUAUGGAUGGACCCGCGUCGCAUUAGCUAGUUGGUGAGGUAACGGCUCACCAAGGCAACGAUGCGUAGCCGACCUGAGAGGGUGAUCGGCCACACUGGGACUGAGACACGGCCCAGACUCCUACGGGAGGCAGCAGUAGGGAAUCUUCCGCAAUGGACGAAAGUCUGACGGAGCAACGCCGCGUGAGUGAUGAAGGCUUUCGGGUCGUAAAACUCUGUUGUUAGGGAAGAACAAGUGCUAGUUGAAUAAGCUGGCACCUUGACGGUACCUAACCAGAAAGCCACGGCUAACUACGUGCCAGCAGCCGCGGUAAUACGUAGGUGGCAAGCGUUAUCCGGAAUUAUUGGGCGUAAAGCGCGCGCAGGUGGUUUCUUAAGUCUGAUGUGAAAGCCCACGGCUCAACCGUGGAGGGUCAUUGGAAACUGGGAGACUUGAGUGCAGAAGAGGAAAGUGGAAUUCCAUGUGUAGCGGUGAAAUGCGUAGAGAUAUGGAGGAACACCAGUGGCGAAGGCGACUUUCUGGUCUGUAACUGACACUGAGGCGCGAAAGCGUGGGGAGCAAACAGGAUUAUAUACCCUGGUAGUCCACGCCGUAAACGAUGAGUGCUAAGUGUUAGAGGGUUUCCGCCCUUUAGUGCUGAAGUUAACGCAUUAAGCACUCCGCCUGGGGAGUACGGCCGCAAGGCUGAAACUCAAAGGAAUUGACGGGGGCCCGCACAAGCGGUGGAGCAUGUGGUUUAAUUCGAA
RNAcentral lists this ribosomal RNA (817 nucleotides) under Bacillus cereus. RNAcentral describes it as "bacterial SSU rRNA". It matches the Rfam family "Bacterial small subunit ribosomal RNA", at positions 154 to 955 of the family's 1533-position model. The record is from RNAcentral. Lineage: Bacteria; Bacillati; Bacillota; Bacilli; Caryophanales; Bacillaceae.